UGGUAGUGUCUGCCUCUUGGAUACACUGAUCGUCGUGAUAUAAGAUUAAGGAUCAGUGUGGUCUAAAGCAAUUGGAUGGUAUCUGGACAUGUUCUGGAUGACCUGCUGGUGGGACACGUGGGGUUGACUGCCUGGGCUUUUGUGCUCUGUAAGCUCUUAAAAUCUGUGAUAGUUGCCUUUCCUGAGUAGGUGAUAGCAUGUUUCUCAAUAGCAGGCAUGGUCACUGAGGCACGGGCUUCCAGGACCGUUUGCCUCCAACACACUUUUGAGGGCAAGGACAUCUUCAAGAUGUUUAGAAUUGAGGGAAUAUGUAUUUUUCUUUGACAUACAAUCCCCGCACGGCAAAUCCAUUUCUGUCCGGUUACUUAACAGCUAUUGUUCCUGCAAUACCCAGAGCCUUGUCAGAGGGUUUCUUGCUUUGACUGUCCAAGGCUCAAUUAUCUUCUUUCCUGCAACGUGCAAGAACCAAAGCCAGGACUUUUUGUGCUGGGAGGGGACUCUGUGCCUACAGCCGUCCCUGGUUUGUAGCGUAAGAGAGCCGGAACGGAGGAGUUGGCGAAGGACUGUGCUGUCUCUCCCAGUGAAAUGUGCCCCUUGUAUGGAGCACGCCGCUCUCAAGGGCUCGUGCAGAAGAAAGGAGGAUUUCAGAUGGGAGGUGGAAUUCUGAGAAUUUGAGAUGGUGGCUGAUAAGAGGUGUCAUGAUGAGGAGCUUCUCAGAAACAGAAGUGGAUGAUGAGUGGAGAUGAAGAAAUCAUACAUUUAAGAAGUUGGCUCAAGUUUCCGUUACAGGCAUGGAAAGUUUCUGAGACCAAGCCAUGUGAGAAGAACAUGAGUAAAGAAGAGGGAGAUGUAGACCCCAGACUUUCUAGAAGGGAUUGCAGGAUUUGAGAGGACGCUGCGCAAACGUCACGUAGUUUGCUUGCUUAUUCAUUUACCUGCGCCCCUGGAUUGUAAUGCUUUGUUUGCAUAUCUGUUUGGAAGUUGACAAAUCCCCGCACAUCUGUGUCUUUAAUAUAAUCAUGGCUUCAAACUUGUUUUAGGGAGAGCAGAACAUCGCUGUAGUUUUUAUUUGUGGAUUAGAUAGCUUUGUACUUGAAAUCAAUUUUUAUUUUUCGGAGAGAAGUACAAUGAACAUGGAAAAGACCAUAUGGAUCAGACCGUGAGCGCUACAAAACACAAAAUCAGGGGUUUGGCUUGCAUUUAAUAAACAGCCUUUGCAUAAAAAGUGUGACAGGUGCAAAGGUAAAAGAGAAAAAAAAAAGUAGUGCUAGCCCUCUAAUUUGAGUGUUCUUACGCUAUCCUUAGGCAAAUGUCUGGAUCAAAUAUCAAUCAGGUCAAUCUUUUUUUAUUUGACUGUUGGUCACAAAAAUAUUCCAGGUAGGUAAGACUUCUUGGCAGGGCUGUGGGGUUUUAGGUGCAGAUUAAUUAGUAUUGAGUUAGUAUUUCUUGUUUUUAGAAAGGUAGUCUUUUUUUGAACAUCUUGGCUGUCAGGUGAAGUAUCUCCAAGGAAAUACUAGCUGUGCAGUCCAGCAAGUUACGAUGCUGUGAACAGACUUACUUGUAGUAAGUCUCUGAUACGGAGUCACUAAGACUUUGACAUCGAUGUAUUUAAAAUUUUAACAUUAAAUAUAAUUUCCUAUAUUGGACAGUGUUGCUGGUAGAGGCAAAGAGCAUCUUUAUUUUUCUUAGGAACUCUUAUCUGGUGUUUUACCCCUAAUAAAAGGGUAGUUAUUUUUGCAUACUGACCGAAUAUUUGGCCUUUAAGAGUAUAUAAUUAGUUGGAAGAGUAAAAGCAGUUGUUGAAGGACUGUUUUUCUAAUGAAAAUAGUUUGAAAUCAUAUAAUUUUAGUUUCUUCCGAAUAGAUAUGAUUAGUGUGUUGGAAGUACUUUUAGAGUGGAUAUAAAGGGAACAGUUGAGAGACAGUGGCUGAGAAUGUGUCCAGCUAUUUUUGUAGCUAACAGUUAUAUUUUUUCAGUCUCUUUACUUAGAUAUUUCCAUAUAAUUGGACAGCUAAAUUAUAUUUGGAUACAAAAGCUAUUUGCGCUUAGUGGUAUUUAUAUUUUAAAAUAGGUAUUACUGUACUAAUUGAUAAGUAAAUCACAAUGUUAGAAAAUCCUGGCCUGUGUUAUUACUUUGAUAGAAAUUUGAAUAUGGGAUAGUAUUGUCUGUAUCAUAUAAAAAUGUUUUCAUGGAUUUUUAGCUGCUGAAACUGAAAUCAAUAAACAUUAGUUACUGUUGUUGACUGAAACAA
Calidris pugnax (ruff) is the source of this 2252-nucleotide long non-coding RNA. RefSeq lists it as uncharacterized. Lineage: Eukaryota; Metazoa; Chordata; Aves; Charadriiformes; Scolopacidae. The record is from RefSeq and is a predicted model, not a curated record. The transcript has 2 exons.